Molecule: unclassified non-coding RNA, 371 nt
Filed under: Hevea brasiliensis (rubber tree)
Lineage: Eukaryota; Viridiplantae; Streptophyta; Magnoliopsida; Malpighiales; Euphorbiaceae
Source: RNAcentral
AAAGAAUGGUAGUUCCACUGUGGUAAGUGCUUUUGUUUAUUGUCAUUGUUACAAUUGGAUACUUGCGUCGUAGUGGUUCAGAAGUUAAAAGAAUGUACCGAUAUUCUUUUCCAUAGAGCUGGUACGCGCACACACACACAUACACUCAUAUAUGCACGUGCAUGAGAGAACUGAUAUAUACAACAAUCAACUGAAACCUAAUGUACACUUACUUUUUAUGUUCAACAAAUCCUUAUUAAUUUACACUUACUAUGUUCAAUAAAUUCUUCCUGUAUGACAAUAUUUCAUACCAUUUCUAGUUUUCUACUGUAUCAUAUAAUCUUAACAGUUAUACAUUGCAACUAACAUUCAUGUAGGAGGUGACUGGGAAU